AGAACGAACGCUGGCGGCAUGCCUAAUACAUGCAAGUCGAACGAACACUUCGGUGUUAGUGGCGCACGGGUGCGUAACGCGUGGGAAUCUGCCCUUGGGUUCGGAAUAACAGUUGGAAACGACUGCUAAUACCGGAUGAUAUCGAAAGAUCAAAGAUUUAUCGCCCAGGGAUGAGCCCGCGUAGGAUUAGCUAGUUGGUGAGGUAAAGGCUCACCAAGGCGACGAUCCUUAGCUGGUCUGAGAGGAUGAUCAGCCACACUGGGACUGAGACACGGCCCAGACCUCCUACGGGAGGCCAGCAGUAGGGAAUAGUUGGAC
This 318-nucleotide ribosomal RNA is filed under the name uncultured soil bacterium. RNAcentral describes it as "bacterial SSU rRNA". It matches the Rfam family "Bacterial small subunit ribosomal RNA", at positions 26 to 370 of the family's 1533-position model. The record is from RNAcentral.